Non-coding RNA from Pelobates cultripes (western spadefoot toad), 605 nucleotides. The record is from the annotation of a GenBank genome assembly. Lineage: Eukaryota; Metazoa; Chordata; Amphibia; Anura; Pelobatidae.
GAUAUUUAGACUUGUGUAGGGUGGGCGACCUGGGGAAAAACAGUGGAUCAAGAUAUGAUUAUCCAAAGGUUGCCCACUACACCACACUGUAAUUCUAUGGAAUGUAAUCCUGUCCAUAUGACCAUCUCUAAUCCACAACAUUUUAUUGAUAAGUUUGGAAAUCUAUUUGGGUUCCAAAUAUAUGGCACAGGAGUAGACCCAGGGACCAUAAUAUAUGUAGGACUUGAAACUGAGACGAUAGCAACUCAAACUCAUCAGGUUUUUCAUUCCUUUUAUGAGGAGAUGAGUGUUGAGGAUAAAAUUCCCCAUAAUGUUAAGAACCUAUUUAUUGAUUUGGCUGAGAGUAUUGCGGGUAGUCUUAAUGUAACUAAUUGCUUUGUAUGUGGAGGUACUAAUAUGGGAGACCAGUGGCCAUGGGAGGCAAAGGAAGUAUGGUACCCUGGUUCUGAGACAGAUGAACAACAAAUACUUUCUCAGUCUGAUCAUCAAGUAAGUACUAGAGGUAAAUCAGAGUGGCGGUUAAAAACCUCCAUUAUAGGUCAUGUAUGUUUAGCCAGGAAAGGGCCAUUGUAUACCACACCUGUUGGCGAGUUAAUAUGUCUAGG